This 377-nucleotide unclassified non-coding RNA is filed under the name uncultured Geodermatophilaceae bacterium. RNAcentral's name for it is "contains 16S-23S intergenic spacer region". Lineage: Bacteria; Bacillati; Actinomycetota; Actinomycetes; Geodermatophilales; Geodermatophilaceae. The record is from RNAcentral.
UCCGAGUUGUCCCCGGCAGUCCUCUUAGAGUCCCCACCAUUACGUGCUGGCAACAUAGAACGAGGGUUGCGCUCGUUGCGGGACUUAACCCAACAUCUCACGACACGAGCUGACGACAACCAUGCACCACCUGUGCACGGCCCUUACGGACCCCACAUCUCUGCGAGAUUUCCGUGCAUGUCAAGCCUAGGUAAGGUUCUUCGCGUUGCAUCGAAUUAAGCAACAUGCUCCGCCGCUUGUGCGGGCCCCCGUCAAUUCCUUUGAGUUUUAGCCUUGCGGCCGUACUCCCCAGGCGGGGCGCUUAAUGCGUUAGCUACGGCACGGAACCCGUGGAAGGGAUCCCACACCUAGCGCCCAACGUUUACGGCGUGGACUAC